Molecule: ribosomal RNA, 497 nt
Filed under: uncultured bacterium
Lineage: Bacteria
Description: partial 16S ribosomal RNA
Rfam family: Bacterial small subunit ribosomal RNA
Source: RNAcentral
GAUGAACGCUGGCGGCGUGCCUAAUACAUGCAAGUCGAGCGAACGGACGAGAAGCUUGCCUUUCUGAUGUUAGCGGCGGACGGGUGAGUAACACGUGGAUAACCUACCUAUAAGACUGGGAUAACUUCGGGAAACCGGAGCUAAUACCGGAUAAUAUUUUGAACCGCAUGGUUCAAAAGUGAAAGACGGUCUUGCUGUCACUUAUAGAUGGAUCCGCGCUGCAUUGGCUAGUUGGUAAGGUAACGGCUUACCAAGGCAACGAUGCAUAGCCGACCUGAGAGGGUGAUCGGCCACACUGGAACUGAGACACGGUCCAGACUCCUACGGGAGGCAGCAGUAGGGAAUCUUCCGCAAUGGGCGAAAGCCUGACGGAGCAACGCCGCGUGAGUGAUGAAGGUCUUCGGAUCGUAAAACUCUGUUAUUAGGGAAGAACAUAUGUGUAAGUAACUGUGCACAUCUUGACGGUACCUAAUCAGAAAGCCACGGCUAACUACGUG